Molecule: non-coding RNA, 3073 nt
Organism: Benincasa hispida (wax gourd)
Lineage: Eukaryota; Viridiplantae; Streptophyta; Magnoliopsida; Cucurbitales; Cucurbitaceae
Source: RefSeq, a predicted model, not a curated record
AUUAGAAUUUCUUUUCUCUCUUUCUCCUCAGCCGCGCAGACCCCCCCUCCGCUUCUCGUUUUUUUUUCUUUUCUUCAAGCGCGUCCGCCCUAGCGCCGUUGAAGCCAGCUGCCAUCGCCGCGAAGAGCUGUCGUUUUUCCGAUUCGUUCAGCGCACCAAUCGAUCACGUCUCCAGCCACACCGCCGGUUCAAGUCGCCCACCUUUGCGCGCCGCUGUUCGCGGAUCUGAAGCCGGCGCGGGUUUCAGUCGACAGCCGUCUCUUUUGUUUGGUGUUCGCAGAACAGCGCCGCCCAAGCCGAUCAGCACCUUCAUGCACAAGCUUCCGAGGAAAACCUCGAGUAAGACAUCAUUUUGUUUUGCAGAAAAUUGUAAUAGUGGGAAAAUUAAGUUAUUAAUUUUGGAUUUAAUUCAUGAUCAGAUUGUUGGAAUUUGUCUUUUACGUGGGCGGUGGAUUUAUAAAGUAAAGAUUAGAUUUAUAAAGUAAAUUAAUGGACUCUUGAAUAUUCACGUUCAUGUUGUUUUUUUCAUGUUUGACGGUGUGCCAUUCGACCACUAAACAUACGAAUCAAUGGUAAUCGAUGUAGUUGUUUGAGCCACGAGCCAUCAUUCUCUGAUCCUGAUACAUCAACUCCCAAUCUUCCCCAACAAACAGCCAAUGGAGGACGGCUCUCUUCCUCCGAUCCGCAUCUUCCUCCACCUCGCAACAACCAAAGAGCCACCCGAAACAAUGCCAAAGCAAUAAUUGAAGAACAUGCCACCAGACUCUCUCUCAAAAGCUUCAGAUCUCAUCGCGUUUCGAUUAGGAAACGCAGAAGAUGCGAACGCCAACGUGCUAGGCAACCCGCGUCCCGGAAUUCCUCCCAAGGUUAUAUUGUGGCGGUUUCUUUCUCGAACAUUUGCUUUGCGAUUCUUUCGUUGAUUCUGCAUGAUCUGGUUUCUGUUAACUCACAUUGAAGAUGAAGAUGAAGAUGAACCAAGGGGUAAUAUUUUUUUUUCCCCAUUGGCAUUGUCUGCAAAAUUCUUUUAUUGAUACAUUUUUUGAGAUGAGAGGAUGGGAAUCUGUUUGGUUUGAUCAUGAAUUUUGUUCUUGGGAAAAAUCAGGGGUGAAUUUUAGGAGAAGGCUUCUUCAUAUUUCUGUUAUCUCAGGGUUUCUGUGGCAGGAGGGCAAGAAAUGGAAUAGAAUUUUGGCAAUAGGAGGAAAGGAAUUAUAUUCUGUCUUCUAAAGUGACUGAUCUGAUUUUACAAAAGAAGAUUUUCCAUCUCUUAUACGUCAAUCCAACACACUUUUUCCUUAACCACUCUUUCUCUUCAAGAACCUUUAUCUCUUUGGAAUCAUAUUAAAAGCACAGUUUUCCCCCUUUUUUCUGUUCUUACUUCAGUUUUAAUGAGAUUGAUCUAUGGUGACUACCUACCUAAGAUUUAAUAUCUUACAAGUUUCCUUGACAUUCACAUGUUAUAAGAUCAAACGGGUUGUCCCAUAAGAUUAGUCGAGAUGCGCGUAAGCUGGUCCGAACACUAACGGAUAUUUAAAAAAAUGUUUCAACGGGAUUGAACCAUCAAUCUUUGAAAAGAAAAUAUGUGUCUUAUCCAUGAAACUAGUUUAUGAUUCACCUCACAAUUUAUUGUUCUCUUCUUUCAAAAUAAUAUUGAAUAACAAGUUCCUUCUUGUCAAUUUGUUGAUAAGUUUUUUCUUCUCUCCUGGGUUGGUUAUACAAAGGCAUUUUCUAUCAUGAAUUUCUGUAUCCAUAAGUUUCAUUUAGGUUCUGUCCACACACAUUUUUUGUUUUGCAUCACUAUUAUGCGAUGUUCUCUCUUAAUAGUUAAAUACAUCAAAAGUCAAUAUCUAGAUAUCUUUCUAAAGUAAAAGUAUGCACUAGUAUUAACACAAUGAUAUCUAAUUCUUGGUGAUGAGAUCAAGUUUCUUAUUUUACAAUAAAUUAUACAGAUGCUAUAUUCUAGGAAUAUCAUGUUUAAAAUCUCUAAAACGAAUAGUCUAUUAAACUUAUGCUCGAACUUAAAUGGUAUACUUUAUUAAAAAUUCUAAAUACUCAUAUAUGACUCAUUUACAAGUAUCUUUACAUUUACCAUAAAAAAGAAAAAGAAGAAAUUACAAAAUGGGAGUCUAUUUUAAGCCACGCAUUCAAUUUAUCUAAGAAGUUAGUUUUGAAUUCUUUUCUGAAUUAAAAAACAUUAUUUUGUGAGUAUAUAUUCCAAUCCAUAUAUGUCUCUAUAAGCUAUACACUUUAUAGGGGCCAUUGUUGGUUCUUUUUGGUAGUUAAAAACAGGCAGUCUCAACCCUCCAUUUACCCAUAGAAGAUUGAAUUUGAACAUCAAAAUCAAUCUACAUGAAGAAAGGGCUAUUCAUUUUGUUCUUCUUCUCUCUUCUUUGCCUCUAUCUCCUUCCAUUUUGCCUAUCUGAAACCAAUUUCACCACCAAAGCUGAUGAUCGCUACAAGCAGCUGAAGCAGGGGAAGCCCAGAAAAGAUUUACAUGGAAGUGAACAAAUAAAUGGUGGAGCUGCGAUGGCGAGAGUUAUUAGAGCAAAAGCAGUUUAUGGUGGGGCGAACGACAUUCAUCACGGGCACUCGAAGAAUGGUGCUAACCCUUUACAGAUCAAAUCAAUUUCUUCGAUGCUGUGGAAAGUUUCAUUUAGUUUCUUUUGUUUCUGUCUUGUUCUUAAAGGUUUUUAAGAAACGGCUCUGUUGUAGGCUUGUAGCAGAGCAAUUUAAGUGUUAUGUUCUGUAAUGGUUUAAACCUUGUUUAUGGCCAAUGUUAUUGUUGGAUUACUUGACUUUGAAGCUUCAUAACGCUUGAUUCUCUACACUUUUUUUUUUUCUUUCUGGACCAAAAUCUUGUUCUUCCAAGCCUGUUUACCAAGGUUCAAAGUCGGUCAUUUGUAAUUUCCUUUGUCUUUUGGCAAGUGUUUUAUGUUCUGACCUAUGGUAAUGAUGUUGGAGGGGUAGAUUUUGGGUCGGGAAGAAUUUGUUCUCGGCAGCUCGGAUACAGUGGUCUUCAUUUGUGUCUGAUUUUGGUGGAGAAUAUUAAAAUAAAGUGAAGUAUAUUGAUUGCUUU